GACGAACGCUGGCGGCGUGCUUAACACAUGCAAGUCGAACGGAAAGACCCUGAUCUUGCGGGGUGCUCGAGUGGCGAAGGGGGGAGUAUAACGCGAGUAACCUGUACCUGUCAGUGUGAUAACACUACGAAAAACGGGCUAUUACCGCAUAGGAGCUCUUGCUGCAUGUUGGGCGAUGGUAAGUUUCGGCGGUGGUGGAUGGAUUCGCGGGUUAUCAGCCUGUUUGUGGGGUAGGGGAUUCCCAAGGCUAUGACGGGUAGCCGGCAUAGGAGGGUGACCGGCGACAUGAGGCCUGAGAUAGGGACCAGACGGCAAUGGGAGGCAGCAGUGGGGAACAUUGCAGAAUGGGCCGGAGCCUGAUGCAGCAACGCUGCGUGCGUGAAGACGGGCUUCGGGUGGUAAACCGCUUUGGCCUGAGACGUGGCGUUAGUGACGGUAAUUAGUAAAGAAGCACCGGCUAACUACGUG
RNAcentral lists this ribosomal RNA (468 nucleotides) under uncultured bacterium. RNAcentral describes it as "partial 16S ribosomal RNA". It matches the Rfam family "Bacterial small subunit ribosomal RNA", at positions 28 to 507 of the family's 1533-position model. The record is from RNAcentral.